GUGAACGCUGGCGGUAGGCCUAACACAUGCCAGUCGAACGGCAGCACAGUAAGAGCUUGCUCUUACGGGUGGCGAGUGGCGGACGGGUGAGGAAUACAUCGGAAUCUACUUUUUCGUGGGGGAUAACGUAGGGAAACUUACGCUAAUACCGCAUACGACCUACGGGUGAAAGCAGGGGAUCUUCGGACCUUGCGCGAUUGAAUGAGCCGAUGUCGGAUUAGCUAGUUGGCGGGGUAAAGGCCCACCAAGGCGACGAUCCGUAGCUGGUCUGAGAGGAUGAUCAGCCACACUGGAACUGAGACACGGUCCAGACUCCUACGGGAGGCAGCAGUGGGGAAUAUUGGACAAUGGGCGCAAGCCUGAUCCAGCCAUACCGCGUGGGCGAAGAAGGCCUUCGGGUUGUAAAGCCCUUUUGUUGGGAAAGAAAAGCAGCAGGUUAAUACCCCGCUGUUCUGACGGUACCCAAAGAAUAAGCACCGGCUAACUUCGUG
This 491-nucleotide ribosomal RNA is filed under the name uncultured bacterium. RNAcentral describes it as "partial 16S ribosomal RNA". It matches the Rfam family "Bacterial small subunit ribosomal RNA", at positions 29 to 507 of the family's 1533-position model. The record is from RNAcentral.